GAACAACUUAAAGCCUGAUCCCAGGGAGUUGCCCGAAAGGUGAUUUGAGUAAUUUAUUGAAUGGAAAGAACAAAUUACCUAUUGAGGCGGUGGGCAGCGUCUGGAAAUGAUAUUAGGACUUCAGCAAAGUGCACAGCUGCAUGACACAGAAGCCGGGACUCAGAUUGACAGGCAAAUAAGCCAGCUCGUGCAAGGGGCCUCUGGGUGGCAGCUCUGGGCUAUUGGGUGUUGGACAACUGUAGGCAAAACAGAAAUGGAACAGGGGCAGAAAAUAGCACACUUUUACGCUACGCAACUGUGGCUUUCGCAUGGUUAUUGAUCAUUAAAAUGGCAUUGUAAAGAGAGGACUCAGAAAUAACAGUAAGUCUUAACCAUUUGAAAGACAUAUCAUUUAAUGUUGAACUAAAGCACAUGGCAGCAUAUUUGGCAAUUUUUUCCCUUCUAAUUUUGUACACUGGUAUAGGGCAUAGAAUGUGAGCAAAAACCCUUAGACCUCAAAGUAUAUUUUUAUGUGAAGCCAAAAUAUUUUUAACUAACUCUGCUAGUCAAUAAUUUUUGGAUUUGGCACUCUGUAGUAUAGUCCUAUUUUUGCAAAAAGUCAACAAAGUAUUUCCCUUCUAAUUCAAUAUCCU
Molecule: long non-coding RNA, 632 nt
Filed under: Vulpes vulpes (red fox)
Lineage: Eukaryota; Metazoa; Chordata; Mammalia; Carnivora; Canidae
Description: lncRNA (ENSVVUG00000023889.1)
Source: RNAcentral